UACAUGGGGUGCAAACGUUGCUCGGAAUUAUUGGGCGUAAAGCGCACGUAGGCGGUCCGUUAAGUCAGAUGUAAAAGCCCCCGGCUCAACCGGGGAAGUGCAUCUGAAACUGGCGGGCUAGAGUACGAAAGAGGGUCGCGGAAUUCCCGGUGUAGAGGUGAAAUUCGUAGAUAUUAGGAAGAACACCGGUGGCGAAGGCGGCUCUCUGGAACGGUACUGACGCUGAGACGCGAAAGCGUGGGGAGCGAACAGG
RNAcentral lists this ribosomal RNA (253 nucleotides) under uncultured bacterium. RNAcentral describes it as "partial 16S ribosomal RNA". It matches the Rfam family "Bacterial small subunit ribosomal RNA", at positions 524 to 776 of the family's 1533-position model. The record is from RNAcentral.